RNAcentral lists this ribosomal RNA (476 nucleotides) under Mycolicibacterium chlorophenolicum. Its description in RNAcentral is "bacterial SSU rRNA". It matches the Rfam family "Bacterial small subunit ribosomal RNA", at positions 380 to 867 of the family's 1533-position model. Lineage: Bacteria; Bacillati; Actinomycetota; Actinomycetes; Mycobacteriales; Mycobacteriaceae. The record is from RNAcentral.
AGCCUGAUGCAGCGACGCCGCGUGAGGGAUGACGGCCUUCGGGUUGUAAACCCUUUCGGAGGGAGGAAGGGAAAGUGACGGUACCUGGAGAAGAAGCACCGGACAACUACGUGCCAGCAGCCGCGGUAAUACGUAGGGUGCGAGCGUUGUCCGGAAUUACUGGGCGUAAAGAGCUCGUAGGUGGUUUGUCGCGUUGUUCGUGAAAACUCACAGCUUAACUGUGGGCGUGCGGGCGAUACGGGCAGACUGGAGUACUGCAGGGGAGACUGGAAUUCCUGGUGUAGCGGUGGAAUGCGCAGAUAUCAGGAGGAACACCGGUGGCGAAGGCGGGUCUCUGGGCAGUAACUGACGCUGAGGAGCGAAAGCGUGGGGAGCGAACAGGAUUAGAUACCCUGGUAGUCCACGCCGUAAACGGUCUUGUACUAGGUGUGGGUUUCCUUCCUUGGGAUCCGUGCCGUAGCUAACGCAUUAAGUAC